Molecule: unclassified non-coding RNA, 357 nt
Filed under: uncultured fungus
Lineage: Eukaryota; Fungi
Description: sequence contains ITS1
Source: RNAcentral
GUUUCAAUUUCAUUCCCAAAACCAAACUCUUGUUUUAUCAGGCAACUACAUGUGUUAUUCUGGGGUUUCCCCCUUCUUCCUCUUCUCUCCCGCCUCUCACAGCACAACAACCAACCCAAGCAAAUAAAGCUCAAGGUUGGAGAGAGCUGCAAAACACUGAAGAUAAGUAGGAAAAACUCUUUUUGGGUAUCAAAGUUGUUUGCAAGCCAGAAGAACGAGAGAAAGAGAGAGAUAGAGAUAGAGAUAGGAAGAGAAACAUCUCUUCUCACCUCUUUCCUCUCUCUCUCACCCUCCCUCUUCUAAGCUUGAUAAAAAUGUUAUUCAAUGAUGAUCCUUCCGCAGGUUCACCUACGGAAA